This 253-nucleotide ribosomal RNA is filed under the name uncultured bacterium. RNAcentral's name for it is "partial 16S ribosomal RNA". It matches the Rfam family "Bacterial small subunit ribosomal RNA", at positions 524 to 776 of the family's 1533-position model. The record is from RNAcentral.
GACGAACCGAGCGAACGUUGUUCGGAAUCACUGGGCUUAAAGGGCGCGUAGGCGGGUGCUCAAGUCUGUGGUGAAAUCCUCCGGCUCAACCGGAGAACUGCCAUGGACACUGAGUGUCUCGAGGGUGGUAGGGGUAUGCGGAACUAUCGGUGGAGCGGUGAAAUGCGUUGAUAUCGAUAGGAACUCCGGUGGCGAAGGCGGCAUACUGGACCACUUCUGACGCUGAGGCGCGAAAGCCAGGGGAGCAAACGGG